Molecule: ribosomal RNA, 158 nt
Filed under: Cladosporium sphaerospermum
Lineage: Eukaryota; Fungi; Ascomycota; Dothideomycetes; Cladosporiales; Cladosporiaceae
Also listed under: 2 other names
Description: 5.8S ribosomal RNA
Rfam family: 5.8S ribosomal RNA
About the family: 5.8S ribosomal RNA (5.8S rRNA) is a component of the large subunit of the eukaryotic ribosome. It is transcribed by RNA polymerase I as part of the 45S precursor that also contains 18S and 28S rRNA.
Source: RNAcentral
AAACUUUCAACAACGGAUCUCUUGGUUCUGGCAUCGAUGAAGAACGCAGCGAAAUGCGAUAAGUAAUGUGAAUUGCAGAAUUCAGUGAAUCAUCGAAUCUUUGAACGCACAUUGCGCCCCCUGGUAUUCCGGGGGGCAUGCCUGUCCGAGCGUCAUUU